RNAcentral lists this long non-coding RNA (339 nucleotides) under Cyanistes caeruleus (blue tit). RNAcentral describes it as "lncRNA (ENSCCEG00000013642.1)". The record is from RNAcentral. Lineage: Eukaryota; Metazoa; Chordata; Aves; Passeriformes; Paridae.
UAAACUGGCAAGUGUGAGGUUACACUCAGACAUCUGAGACAGUAAUAGCCCUCCUAGGCUGAAACACCUAAAGGAUGAGCUGAACUUCCCUGGUGAACACACCCCAGAGACACCAGGAUAAGUCAGUUUAGAGAUCUGGCCGUCUGGUUUUAUAAAACAAACAAUCCCCCAAACACAAGUGUGCUGGCAGGAAUUAAUACAGCUGGUUUGACUCCUCUGAGACAUGGCUUGCUCAAGGUGAAAAGCCUGCUGGGCUUUCUUUAUCUGGCUGGUUAACAACUGUCAUAAAUAAGGAAAUUCUGAACAAUAGAAUUCAUAGAACUCAGAACACAGAGUGAC